Lagopus muta (rock ptarmigan) is the source of this 3435-nucleotide long non-coding RNA. RefSeq lists it as uncharacterized. NCBI's taxonomy places the organism in Eukaryota, Metazoa, Chordata, Aves, Galliformes, Phasianidae. The transcript has 4 exons. The record is from RefSeq and is a predicted model, not a curated record.
GUUUUCCAGGUUCUUGUAGACCCAGCUUUCUGAUCUAAAGCUUUGUUCUAAGAAUCCCCGAUCUGAGCUUUUGUUGUGCAGGCUCAGAAUUCCUGAUAGCUGUCUCUUCCUGGCCGGGCAUUGGUAGCAGUGGGCUUUGUGCUGUGCCUGCCCUAUGGCAGUCAUACCAUGGGUGGCACUGGCCCCGUUCCUCUCUUCUCAAAACUUAUGCCCAUCCCUUGCAGGGAUUGUAAUGCUUUGUUUAGCAAAGAAUAAAACUCACAUUUUUUUCUAACAAGGGUGGUAUUUUUCUCUUGGAGGCUUUGCAGAUCUCCGUGUACUUUGAGAGGUGUUUUGCAGGAGUUGCUGAGGUGGGAUGGAAAUGAGGCAGUAAUUUGUUGUUGUUUAUAGAAGGGUAUGAAUGAAGUUUGACUGCCCACAGCACGGCAGCACUGCUGGCAGCUCUGGAGCAGUUCCAUAGAGAAGAGCAGUGCAGAGCACUGUGCUCAGCCCCCCAGGGAUGAUGAGGCAUCAUCAGAUGUUGCAUCUUGUCAUCAUUUUAACCAAAAUGAGAAGUUGUUCACAUUUUUCAUCUUUUUGCUCUGUCUUUCGGAUUUUUUUUGUCUGUGAAUGAUUUGACAGCUGCUUGCUGAGAAUGCUAAAUGUCCACAAUUGGCACAAGCAGCCCUGAUGCUCCCAGGAAGCUUUCCUGGUGCUUGAGCAGGUGGAGGGCUGAGGGCAGGCGUGGGCCUGGUGCCUGCAGGAGCUCAUGGCACUGUCGGUGUUGUGGGAUUGCUUCCUUGUGAAUGUUUAUGAUCAUACAUACUACUACUUUAUUUUUUUUUCUUUCCCAACUGUUGAUUUGUUUUUUAACUGACCAGGCAGGCCUGACUCCCCAGUAGAAAUCCUCAGAAUGAACAGCAUGAAAUAUUCACUGCCUGCUGUACAGGAGCAGGCUGAGGUGCCUGAAAGCCUGUUGGAAUUCUGGAGUGCCUGAAUCUUUUGACUUUACCCUGAGUUGUCACUUUCACUCUUAACUCACAGACUCUGCAAUCAAACUAAUUUUCCAAGUCUUGUGAGUUGUUCUCUUCCAUUUCCUUUUCAGUUCUCUUACUUUGUCUUUCUGCAUACUUACUUUCUGUGUAAUGCUCAGAGAUGGAAGUGUUCUCAGGUUUAAGCCUUGACUUUUCAGAGCCCAGGUCUGGCUUUUAUUUUAUUUUUCCUCCUCCUUAAUGAUGUUCUGGGCAUCGCAGCGUUGUUCAGAGAUGUUAAAAAGAAGUGAUGGAAUGGAAAUACCCAGUGCUGUGCUGUAAGAGGCGUGGGAUCUGGCACCCUGCAGGUAGGGUGCUGGUCGGCCAUUCUGGGCUCCUGGUUCAGGUAAAUCACUGCUCCUCGUCCGUGUGAAUCCUCGCCAAGGUGGGCUGUGCUUUCCAAACACUUGAAUGUCUGUGCUCCGUAUUUGUGUUAGCAGAGAGCUGGGACUUGCCUUCUGCGUGUAAGGGGGGGUCGAGCUGUAGGUGGCUGAGCCUUUUGCUCACACCACGACUCAGGAGCAGUUGCUUCUGCUUUUUCCAGAAGAGACAAGGUGAACGGGAUUGCGGAGGCCCCAGAAUGCGGCUGGUUGGUGCUCCCUGCUUGGUUCUGUUUCACCUCUGCCCCUUGUGCUCCCUUCUGAGAGGUGGCCAGGAAUGUUUUGGUCUUUGUUUCGUGGUGGUCUUUUCCCUUCAGUAGAAUCCCAUGUUGCAUGUCUUGCUUCCACAGACAUGUCUGCCAUUUUCUGGCACUGCAGCUUGGUUUGAAUUAUAAAAGGCAGCACAGAAAUGAAAGUAAGGAAAAUGAGUUCUUGAAGAACAGUGUCUUAUCUGCUGUGUUGUUUGGUUUCUGUUUGUUUUGACCCCAAUUAACCUGCUGUCUUCAUUUUAUAGAGAGGUUCUGUCCUGCAGAGCUUACAGCCAUGCUAUGGAGUAACAAAUGCUGUUGGCAAAGUGCGUAAAGCAGAAACCACCGCUGUGUGCCUCGGAGGGGUUUGCUGUAAGGGAGAAGAACCUCCCCAGACGGUGUGUGAAAUAACGAGGUGGUACCUGAACAUUUGCUGAAACACAUCAGCUGGCUUCAAUCUAAUUGCAGUGUAUAAAAGCAAGCCACUGUAAAAGGAAGGAGGUGGAAGUGCUCCUGGCUGCAGGGAAGCUUGCUGAAGUUGAUGGUGUGGUCAGGUGCAGCAGUGGCAGAGCUUAGCAGCUUCAGUUUACUGCAAGAGCCUGUUUCUUUAACACUGUGCGUGAAACUGAGUGCUGAGGUGGCCCUUCAGAACUAGGAAUUAUCCUUGGAGUUGCAUCAUAUUUAAUAAGUACGUAUAACUCAGUAAUCUUGUAAAAGCUGAUUACCUCGAUUAUUAAUAAUUAGGAUUUAUAAGUUAAGUAAUAUGCUGCAACUGUGUCCUACUGGCAGAUCCACAGGGGAAGCUGAGAGAUUAUUUUAGAAAUGUUCUUUAUAGCUGCUGCGUAGGGCGGUGCAGUUCUGAGUGACGAACGGGCAUUGUGGGGUGUGGGUUGUGUGAAGGUGCUGUGCCAGCGUGGCUUCGUCUCAGCAGCAAGGAUCACAUCAGGCGGUUUCAGCGUGCUUUGCUUCGUUUUAUUCUCGUAAAGAUUCUGGUUAAACGUAGUUACAGAGGUGCAGCCCCGUGCGUGCACUGCUGAGCCUGGGGCUGGCAGCGCCCUGUGCCGCACACCCCCACUGCUGGGACGCAUCCCCUGCCGCGAGCUGCCCGGCCCUGCGGCAGCGUGGCCACAGGGCUGCACCGCGACGCUUCGGCUGCUGCUCCUUUGGGGCUGGAAUCUGGAGAAAGCAAGGUUGUGCCCUGCACGUGGGGGCAGAGCCUCCGCUGCCCCGAGCUGCUCUCGGUGUCCUGAAGGUCGCUGAGAUGUGAACGCGGAGGGCAUCCAAGGCGGCACGGACGGUGCCACGGCGUGCGGAGCGGCCGGGCCCGGCGCUGGGCGUCCCGAGGCGGCGGGCCGUUCCCGUGCCGCAUUUCCCCCGGCAGGUGCGCUGGCGGGGCGGACUCCCGGCCGCGUUCCCGCUGGCGCGAACCGGCGGGCAGCGCCGUGGAGCUUACCGGAAAGCUGCCGCCAUCGCCGCGCGGUCCCGCCGCUCCGGGCUGCCGCCGCGAGCCGAGCACUCGUGCGGUGCUCCGCGGGAGGCUCGGGGCGGGCGCGGGGAAGCCGCUCGGCGCGUUGCCGUCACCGGCAGCCCGCGGGGACGCGUUCUCACGUUAACGCCGAGCCGAAUUACCUCGCUUUGCCGGAGCCGUGCGGGGCGCGGGCAGCGGUGCCUGCGGGGCGGGAGGUGGCCGUGCUCGGGCCCCGGCGGCGCCGCGCGGAGGUGAGGCCGCGGGCUGCGAACGAGCCGGGCCGGCUCCUCCUCCUCCCCCUCCUUCUCCUCCUCCUUCUCCCCCCCCCC